UAGAGUUUGAUCCUGGCUCAGAUUGAACGCUGGCGGCAUGCUUUACACAUGCAAGUCGAACGGAAACGAUGGGGAGCUUGCUUCCCAGGCGUCGAGUGGCGAACGGGUGAGUAAUGCAUCGGAACGUGCCCAGUCGUGGGGGAUAGCCCGGGGAAACCCGGAUUAAUACCGCAUACGCCCUGAGGGGGAAAGUGGGGGAUCUUUAGGGACCUCACGCGAUUGGAGCGGCUGAUGUCGGAUUAGCUAGUUGGUGGGGUAAAGGCCUACCAAGGCGACGAUCCGUAGCUGGUCUGAGAGGAUGAUCAGCCACAUCGGGACUGAGACACGGCCCGAACUCCUACGGGAGGCAGCAGUGGGGAAUUUUGGACAAUGGGGGCAACCCUGAUCCAGCCAUGCCGCGUGAGUGAAGAAGGCCUUCGGGUUGUAAAGCUCUUUCAGUUGGGAAGAAACGGUGCGCUCUAACAUAGCGCGCUACUGACGGUACCGACAGAAGAAGCACCGGCUAACUACGUGCCAGCAGCCGCGGUAAUACGUAGGGUGCGAGCGUUAAUCGGAAUUACUGGGCGUAAAGCGUGCGCAGGCGGUUGUGUAAGACAGGUGUGAAAUCCCCGGGCUUAACCUGGGAACUGCGCUUGUGACUGCACGGCUAGAGUACGGCAGAGGGGGGUGGAAUUCCACGUGUAGCAGUGAAAUGCGUAGAGAUGUGGAGGAACACCGAUGGCGAAGGCAGCCCCCUGGGCCGAUACUGACGCUCAUGCACGAAAGCGUGGGGAGCAAACAGGAUUAGAUACCCUGGCAGUCCACGCCCUAAACGAUGUCUACUAGUCGUUCGGAAAGGUUACUUUCUGAGUGACGCAGCUAACGCGUGAAGUAGACCGCCUGGGGAGUACGGUCGCAAGAUUAAAACUCAAAGGAAUUGACGGGGACCCGCACAAGCGGUGGAUGAUGUGGAUUAAUUCGAUGCAACGCGAAAAACCUUACCUACCCUUGACAUGUCUGGAACUUGGCAGAGAUGCCUUGGUGCCUUCGGGAGCCAGAACACAGGUGCUGCAUGGCUGUCGUCAGCUCGUGUCGUGAGAUGUUGGGUUAAGUCCCGCAACGAGCGCAACCCUUACCAUUAGUUGCCAUCAUUUAGUUGGGCACUCUAAUGGGACUGCCGGUGACAAACCGGAGGAAGGUGGGGAUGACGUCAAGUCCUCAUGGCCCUUAUGGGUAGGGCUUCACACGUCAUACAAUGGUCGGUACAGAGGGUUGCCAAGCCGCGAGGUGGAGCUAAUCUCAGAAAGCCGAUCGUAGUCCGGAUCGCAGUCUGCAACUCGACUGCGUGAAGUCGGAAUCGCUAGUAAUCGUGGAUCAGAAUGUCACGGUGAAUACGUUCCCGGGUCUUGUACACACCGCCCGUCACACCAUGGGAGUGGGUUUCACCAGAAGUGGGUAGCUUAACCUUCGGGAGGGCGCUCACCACGGUGAGAUUCAUGACUGGGGUGAAGUCGUAACAAGGUAGCCGUAGGGGAACCUGCGGCUGGAACACCUCCUU
This 1537-nucleotide ribosomal RNA is filed under the name uncultured Azoarcus sp. RNAcentral's name for it is "bacterial SSU rRNA". It matches the Rfam family "Bacterial small subunit ribosomal RNA". The record is from RNAcentral. Lineage: Bacteria; Pseudomonadati; Pseudomonadota; Betaproteobacteria; Rhodocyclales; Zoogloeaceae.